UAUACAGCCAUACUGCCCUGAAUGUGCCCCAUCAUGUCUUGGAAGCUAAGCAGGGUCAGGCCUGGUAGUACUUGGAAGGGAGACACUACUGAAGCACAGAGCCAUUGUGGUAG
RNAcentral lists this ribosomal RNA (113 nucleotides) under Jaculus jaculus (lesser Egyptian jerboa). The record is from RNAcentral. Lineage: Eukaryota; Metazoa; Chordata; Mammalia; Rodentia; Dipodidae.